This 468-nucleotide ribosomal RNA is filed under the name uncultured bacterium. Its description in RNAcentral is "partial 16S ribosomal RNA". It matches the Rfam family "Bacterial small subunit ribosomal RNA", at positions 28 to 507 of the family's 1533-position model. The record is from RNAcentral.
GACGAACGCUGGCGGCGUGCUUAACACAUGCAAGUCGAACGGAAAGGCCCUGCUUUUGUGGGGUGCCCGAGUGGCAAUCGGGUGAGUAAGACGUGAGUAACCUGCCCUUGACUUUGGGAUAACUUCACGAAAGUGGGGCUAAUACCGGAUAGGAGCCCCUCCUGCAUGGAGGGGGUUGGAACGUUUCGGCGGUUGGGGAUGGACUCGCGGCUUAUCAGCUUGUUGGUGGGGUAGUGGCUUACCAAGGCUUUGACGGGUAGCCGGCCUGGGAGGGUGACCGGCCACAUUAGGACUGAGAUACGGCCCAGACUCCUACGGGAGGCAGGAGUGGGGAAUAUUACACAAUGGGCGGAAGCCUGAUGCAGCAACGCCGCGUGCGGGAUGACGGCCUUCGGGUUGUAAACCGCAUUCGCCUGUGACGAAGCGUGAGUGACGGUAAUGGGUAAAGAAGCACCGGCUAACUACGUG